Molecule: ribosomal RNA, 319 nt
Filed under: uncultured Pseudomonadota bacterium
Lineage: Bacteria; Pseudomonadati; Pseudomonadota
Description: bacterial SSU rRNA
Rfam family: Bacterial small subunit ribosomal RNA
Source: RNAcentral
AUUGAACGCUGGCGGCAUGCUUUACACAUGCAAGUCGAACGGUAACAGGCCUUCGGGUGCUGACGAGUGGCGAACGGGUGAGUAAUGCAUCGGAACAUACCCAGUCGUGGGGGAUAACGUAGCGAAAGUUACGCUAAUACCGCAUACGUCCUGAGGGAGAAAGCGGGGGAUCGCAAGACCUCGCGCGAUUGGAGUGGCCGAUGUCAGAUUAGCUAGUUGGUGGGGUAAAGGCCCACCAAGGCGACGAUCUGUAGCGGGUCUGAGAGGAUGAUCCGCCACACUGGGACUGAGACACGGCCCAGACUCCUACGGGUGGCAG